RNAcentral lists this ribosomal RNA (236 nucleotides) under Glomeromycotina sp. Its description in RNAcentral is "partial small subunit ribosomal RNA". The stretch from base 40 to 236 matches the Rfam family "Eukaryotic small subunit ribosomal RNA", at positions 686 to 884 of the family's 1831-position model. Lineage: Eukaryota; Fungi; Glomeromycota. The record is from RNAcentral.
GGGUCAGUAGGUUGGUCGUGCCACCGGUACGUACUGGUCUCACUGAUUCCUCCUUCCUGAAGAACCGUAAUGCCAUUAAUUUGGUGUUGCGGGGAAACAGGACUGUUACUUUGAAAAAAUUAGAGUGUUUAAAGCAAGCUAACGCUUGAAUACAUUAGCAUGGAAUAAUGAAAUAGGACGAUCGAUCCUAUUUUGUUGGUUUCUAGGAUUGACGUAAUGAUUAAUAGAUAGUUGGG